Non-coding RNA from Labrus bergylta (ballan wrasse), 978 nucleotides. The record is from RefSeq and is a predicted model, not a curated record. Lineage: Eukaryota; Metazoa; Chordata; Actinopteri; Labriformes; Labridae.
CCUCACAUGAGGUGACAGUUCAGCAAUGCAUGGAUGAUUCAGUCCCAUGUGUGUCUUCUGUUACCCUUAUGAUUCACCUGACUUGAAAGAAAUAAACCUGUUACAUAAAAAUCAAGUCUUGUUGGAUUCCUGCAUCCUGACCCGAUGCCCCCAUGGUGAUAGCACCUCAAAUCUGAACCCUUCUUAACACUCAUGAUUGGCUCAGACAUUGUGCUGCAUGUUUUGAUUGCACCUAAUUUUUUUCCGUUUCCCUGUAAUUUCAUUCAAGCGGUAGAGAACGGCACAUGCUGCUGGUAUUAGAUGACGCAUGUCGGUGAGAUAUGCGGCUGUCCCUCUAAUGGCAUGCCAUCGGCCUCUUUCUACGACCUCGCCAACACUCUCCUCCACAUCUGCGAGUUGCCUGGCAACAUGAGAAGCCAUGAAAGAGCUCAACGUGUGUUUGUACCUGUGGUCUAAAAAGAGGAACUUCCAUUCCAGACUGUGCCUAGACGUGAACUCUUCAUUGGGCUCCUCCACUGUACACAUCUCCUGUGAAGACACGACCACCUUCGCUGUAGCGGUUCCAGGACAACAUGGUGUACGUUACUGUGUAUUCGCUGUGAAUGUGACAUUGGACGGUGGCCAGGACGGUGCAGAGCAUGUCAGGAUGGGGAUGGCCCUGCCUGAUGGCAAAGGGUUUCCCCCUUUAUCGACAUCCAAUCAGAAGCUCCACAGACCAUGACGUGGUACCUAUAGUGUGACGAGGCUCCCCCGUUAAUAUGUUAUUGUGCAUUUAAGAAGAAACCUUUUUUUUUAUUUAAUGAGGCAUUAUGUUGAAUGAGAAGUUUUUUUAUUGACAAUACAAAAUAUACUGUUUACUUUACAUUAAAUAAAACAACAACACAUAUUCAUACAUGAAUAAAAUAAGAAGAAAUUAACUUAGGGCAUACUUGCAUCAAUGUAAAUGUGCAUACACAGAUUUUAUUAUUUGAAAAAAAA